ACUUUGUCUUUCGCUUUGUCAUCACGAAAUUAGCUCAAACAAAGCGAGAGAAUGUAACAAUUUGUAAUAAAUCGCUUGCAUAACUGAUAAAGUAUGAUUUAUCAGCGGAACGAUAGUAAUUGACGUGGUGGGGGGCUCUCCCAUUUAUGACGACGUAGAGAAAUAGUCCAUUCUUUUACGAAACGUGCUGAAGUGGUGAUAAUCAGAUGCAGUAGCAAAAAUGGUUUAAUUAAAUAAAUCGGUAGCUUUCUUUUUUUAGUUAAUUAAUUAACCAGUGAUUUGCAACGCAGUCCUAUAUACAAGCCAUGGCUAUCAUGGAUAACAAAACCGGCGACUCCGGUGACUCAUCGGACGACAGGCCGGUACCGGCGGCGAUCGUCGCCUCGUGCAGCUCCAUACCGAGCGAGAGCACCCUACUGACGCCGGUUCAGACCUAUUUCGCUGACGAGCGGAUCAACAUACCCGAAACCGAGACAACGGGUUUCAGCUUUCGAAAGUUAUGGGCGUUUACGGGACCCGGUUUCCUGAUGUCGAUCGCCUACCUCGACCCGGGCAACAUCGAGAACGACCUACAGAGCGGCACGAUCGCGCAGUAUAAGUUAUUGUGGGUGUUACUUAGUGCGACGUUCCUCGGGCUGCUCAUGCAGAGGCUGUCGGCGAGGUUGGGAGUCGUCACGGGAUUGCAUCUCGCCGAGAUGUGCCACAGACAGUACAGGAAGCUGCCCAGGAUGUUACUGUGGAUUAUGAUCGAGAUUGCCAUCAUUGGAUCCGAUAUGCAGGAGGUUAUCGGGACGGCGAUCGCCAUCUAUCUUCUUUCAAGCAAAGCAAUCCCGCUGUGGGGUGGCGUUCUGAUCACGAUCGUCGACACGUUCACCUUCCUCUUUUUGGACAAGUACGGCCUACGAAAGUUGGAGCUCUUCUUCGGCUUUCUAAUAACCGUAAUGGCCGUCACCUUCGGGUACGAGUUCUUCGUGUCGAAACCGGACGGAGUCGAACUGGUCAAGGGGAUGUUCAUCCCUUGGUGCGCUGGCUGUGAUUCAUCCGCCCUUUUGCAAGCCGUCGGAAUUGUCGGUGCCAUCAUAAUGCCGCAUAAUUUAUAUCUGCAUUCGGCGCUGGUCAAGUCCAGGGACAUCGACAGGAAGGAUAAGGCGAAAGUGCGAGAUGCAAAUUUGUAUUUUUUUAUUGAGGCGGCUAUCGCGCUCUUUGUUAGUUUUAUUAUUAAUGUAUUCGUAGUGGCAGUUUUCGCGUAUGGUUUAUAUCACGUUACCAAUAAUCAGCUUCGGGAUAGUUGCGAGCAGUAUCCACAAUUCAAUGUGACUUCACUGUUUCCCGCGAACGACGAUUACGUCGAGGCCGACCUGUACAAGGGAGGAAUCUUUUUGGGCUGCACUUUCGGCAUAGCGGCGAUGUACAUCUGGGCGGUAGGUAUUUUGGCGGCCGGUCAAAGUUCGACGAUGACAGGUACCUACGCCGGUCAGUUCGCGAUGGAAGGGUUCCUAAAUUUGCAGUGGGCGCGCUGGAAGCGUGUCCUUUUAACUAGAAGCAUUGCGAUCAUUCCCACAUUUUGUCUCGCAUUUUAUACCAGCAUCGACGAUUUGACUGGAAUGAACGAUAUUCUGAACGCCGUGAUGAGCUUGCAGUUACCUUUCGCGUUAUUCCCGACCAUUGCGUUUACCAGUAACCGACUGAUUAUGGGAGAUUUUGUCAAUGGAAAGGUCAACACCAUGAUUGCAGUGACACUUAGCGCUGUUGUCAUCGCGAUCAACACCUACUUCAUCGGGUCGACGGUAUCCAAUUUCAACCUGGGAUGGGUCGCUUUAACCUUCGUCGUGAUCGUCGGCGUCCUGUAUCUCCUCUUCUGUUUGUAUCUUGCCAUUCACAUGGCGAUUUCGAUGGGCGCGACCGGCCUGACGAGGUACCAAUUCGUCAACAAGUACAUCUACGGCCCCGUAAACCAAGGUCAACUGACGACUGAUCCGAUAUCGUAUUCGAGCUGGAGAUUGAUGCAUCAUUAAGUGGAAUUUUUGUUGGAGUCCGUUUUCACGAUUAACAACGCCGACGCUGCGCCGCCUACGUCCCGGUAUAUGAAAAAAGAUGCGUUUUAAGUGUACGACCACGAAGAAAUUGUACAUCCUGUAUAUACCUAAUAUAUUUUAUUUUUAAUAAAUAUUUAUUUUAUCUCGUCUCUCCUCAGGCGGAGAAUCUAUGUUUUCAUUCCCGACUCAACAGAUAGAGCGUGAGCUAAUCAUAACUAACAGCAGUUAGAGAGUGCCUGGUUGGAGCAAUAAACGACGAUUAGCGAAGAUAAGCGACGUUAAAAGUAUGUUGUGUAGAUAAGCAGUAGAGGUAGCGAAGUGUGUUUACGAAAUAAAUUAUUUUUAAUUGUUUUAA
Molecule: RNA transcript, 2391 nt
Organism: Photinus pyralis (common eastern firefly)
Lineage: Eukaryota; Metazoa; Arthropoda; Insecta; Coleoptera; Lampyridae
Gene name: protein Malvolio-like
Exons: 12
Source: RefSeq, a predicted model, not a curated record